AAGUCGUAACAAGGUUUCCGUAGGUGAACCUGCGGAAGGAUCAUUAUUGAUUGCGAAUCGUUGCCUUCAGUGCUGGCCGGCUUCGGCAAGUGCACGUCGGUGACUUUCAUCCAAUACCCUGUGAACCUUUGGCCUCUUGCUAGCUUCGGCCGGCAGAGGAUUUUACACAAACUCAAAUGUAAUGAAAUUUAUUGUCGUGCGCAAGCACUAAUGUACAACUUUCAACAACGGAUCUCUUGGCUCUCGCAUCGAUGAAGAACGCAGCGAAAUGCGAUAAGUAAUGUGAAUUGCAGAAUUCAGUGAAUCAUCGAAUCUUUGAACGCACCUUGCACCCUUUGGCAUUCCGAAGGGUAUGCUCGUUUGAGUGUCAUUGUACUCUCACACUCUCAAUCUUUUGGAUUGGGAGUGGUGGACUUGGGUGUUGCUGCUUUACUGUGGCUCGCCUCAAAUGGAGUAGUGCAACUCUUGGUUGGACAUAGUACGGCGUGAUAAGUGUCUUCGCCGGCACCUCACUUAGAGGGUGGCUGAUCGGGAGCUCUGUGCUUCAAACCGUCUUCGGACAACAUCUGACAACUUGACCUCAAAUCGAGUAGGACUACCCGCUGAACUUAAGCAUAUCAAUAAGCGGAGGA
RNAcentral lists this ribosomal RNA (632 nucleotides) under uncultured Sebacina. Its description in RNAcentral is "eukaryotic LSU rRNA". The stretch from base 217 to 370 matches the Rfam family "5.8S ribosomal RNA". Lineage: Eukaryota; Fungi; Basidiomycota; Agaricomycetes; Sebacinales; Sebacinaceae. The record is from RNAcentral.